GGGGAUAUAGCUCAAUCGGCAGAGCAGGAAACUCUUAAUUUCAAGGUUGUAGGUUCAAUCCCUACUAUCCCCA
This 73-nucleotide transfer RNA is filed under the name Scytonema millei VB511283. RNAcentral's name for it is "tRNA-Lys". It matches the Rfam family "tRNA". Rfam says of the family: Transfer RNA (tRNA) molecules are approximately 80 nucleotides in length. Their secondary structure includes four short double-helical elements and three loops (D, anti-codon, and T loops). Lineage: Bacteria; Bacillati; Cyanobacteriota; Cyanophyceae; Nostocales; Scytonemataceae. The record is from RNAcentral.